GGAGCUAAUGAAUACAUGGCACGGAGUUGGUGGGCGCCUGAGAGAGCUACUCAGCUGUGAGGUCCUUCCCCUGGACUUGAGCACAGGCCUUCUGGCUCAGGGUGCUGAGGGAUGGUGCUCCCCUGUGAGGGGGGUGCCCGGGGCACCCCAGCCUCCCUCAGGAACUCCCAGGCCCCUCAGAAGCAGGAAGUUGGGCUGACCAAAGCUGUGGUAGCUCAGCUAUAUACAUGGCCCCUCUUGACCCUUCUCUGUGAACUGAGGUGCUCUACCUGACGGCCUCUUCACCAAGGGAAAAUGCUUCAGGCAUUUGGGAGCGUGCGCCCUGAGAAGGCCUCAGCAAGUUUUUGGAGAUUGUCCUUCACAGAAACGGGGUCCCAUUAUAUUGUCCAGGCUGGUCUCAAACUCCUGGGCUCGAGUGAUCUGCCCGCCUCAGCCUCUCAAAUUGUUGGGAUUACAGGCAUGAGCCGCCGCACCCGGCCUGACGAGGCUUCUUGCUGCACUUAAAGGAAUGACAGCUAUAGAGGGCAUAUGGGACUGGAAGGCAUCGGAUCCAUAACAUCCUCACGCCUUCUGGAAAUGUGAAAAAUGUUUCACAAAAGCACAGCCUAAGGCCUCAUGUGAUGAGGUGGGCUCUCCACAAGUUCCCGGGGCAGAGUCUGAAGACCUGCUGCUGGAUAGGGGCUUCCUCCUGGUCCCCAAGGGCCCGCCCUCUCAGGCCCACCUUGAGGCCACCCUGCUGGGCCACUUCCCGGAUUUUGGACAGCAUUGAUUGGAGCCGCCCGUUCUCCUCCUGUAGGACCCGGAUGCGGAUGUCGUUGGACUGCACUUGCCUCUCCAUGUGAUCUGUGACGUUGCCAGAGUCUGUGGGACAUGUUAUCUGGGAUUCCACGCUGCUGGAUCUGCCUCCUGUGCCCAAUGGGACAGGACCUUAGAAGGGAGGCACACCAGCUUGGGCAGGUGGCCUGGAGGCACAAAGGAGCUGUGUAGUGCACCAGGCCUCCUAGCUCAUCUUCCUUCUCCCGAGGCCUUAUUCCCCCUUCCCUGUCCCCCAACCUGCAGGGAAGAUGACCAUAGUAUUAUAAAAUCUGAGAGCUGGGUGGGACCUAGAGCUCUCAAAAGACUUAGCAAGGCCGGGCGCGGUGGCUCACGCCUGUAAUCCCAGCACUUUGGGAGGCCCAGGUCAGGGGAUCAUUAAGUCAAGAGAUCAAGACCAUCCUGGCCAACAUGGUGAAACCCCGUCUCUACUAAAAAUAGAAAAAUGAGCUGGGUGUGGUGGCGGGCCCCCGUAGUCCCAGCUACUCAGGAGGCUGAGGCAGGAGAAUCACUUGAACCCAGGAGGUGGAGGUUGCAGUGAGCAGAGAUUGUGCCACUGCACUCCAGCCUGGCAACAGAGUGAGACUCUGUCUCAAAAAAAAAAAAAAAAAAAAAAAGACUUAGCAAAUA
RNAcentral lists this long non-coding RNA (1443 nucleotides) under Homo sapiens (human). RNAcentral's name for it is "HSALNT0276892". Lineage: Eukaryota; Metazoa; Chordata; Mammalia; Primates; Hominidae. The record is from RNAcentral.